This is a long non-coding RNA of Humulus lupulus (European hop), 939 nucleotides long. RefSeq lists it as uncharacterized. The record is from RefSeq and is a predicted model, not a curated record. The transcript has 2 exons. Lineage: Eukaryota; Viridiplantae; Streptophyta; Magnoliopsida; Rosales; Cannabaceae.
CACCAAACACCCAUUACCAUAACACAUCAUUAUAAUACUAUUUAAAAAGAGUUAUUGUAUAUUAGAAAAGUUUGAGGCGGCAAGGGAAAAUAAAAUAGCGCCAAAUCCCUAAGUUUUUUCUACAGUAGACUCCCGUGUACCCAUUUCCCGUAUACCCAUUUCCCUCAUUUUCUUCUCUCUUUCACUUCCUGGUACUCUCCCGUAUCUCAUUUUCUUCUCUAUUUCUCUUCCUGGUAUACCCAUUUCCAGUGUCUCAUUUCCCAUUUCCCGUGUCUCAUUUCCCGGACCUAUCUCUCUCGGUCUCUCACUCCCCUUCACGAAAGACCAUCUACACCACAUUCGAAGGCGAUAUACGAGGCAUGAUCUUCCCUGGAGGCUUUGGCCAAAUCAGACUCGUGAGGUCGAUGAACUAGGUGGAAAGUGCAGGUCAGCGCUGUGGAGAUAGAAAGGCUGAUGGAUGGAUCCUUCCACUGUCUUUGAACAUUGAAAUCAGGGAUGUGACUACAACCACUGGCUCAUCGUCAUGGAUUUCCCCAAGGACCACAAACCUUCCCCUGAAGAAAUGGUUCGUACCUAUGAGGAAACCUUUGCCAGGGGCUUAAACAUCAGGUCUAAUCUCACCCUUUCUCUGUCUAUAUACAUAUAUAUAUAUUUAUAUACCAUCUUCUUUCUCCAGCUGCCUUUCAAGUAAUUUGAGGUUUUUUGGUUUUGAGAGAGAUUGCAUUAGAAAAAAUAAGUAUACCAGCAUAAAUUUUAGGUUGUGUUUUAGUUUUUUUUUAUGGGAACUACUAAUUUUAUGCUGCAAAAUUUAGUUUUCAAAUAUAAUUACUUAUGAUUGUUCCUUCAAUAUAAUUGUUAUCAAUUUGUUUUUAAUUUUUUUUAAUUAUGAUUGGGAUAGCUAUGAUUAACUAUUAACUAAUUCAAUAUAAUUUCUUGUUA